GACUUUGAUAGUAGAUAAG
RNAcentral lists this unclassified non-coding RNA (19 nucleotides) under Dictyostelium discoideum. The record is from RNAcentral. Lineage: Eukaryota; Evosea; Eumycetozoa; Dictyosteliales; Dictyosteliaceae.